RNAcentral lists this long non-coding RNA (312 nucleotides) under Elaeis guineensis (African oil palm). Its description in RNAcentral is "long non-coding RNA (EGUI_LNC082870)". Lineage: Eukaryota; Viridiplantae; Streptophyta; Magnoliopsida; Arecales; Arecaceae. The record is from RNAcentral.
UAUGAUCGCUUCCUUAGGAUAGAUGUGUCUUGAGUCUACGGUGUGGAGACACCAGAGUGAGAGUAUAGGUAUUCAUUGAGAAUGAGAGUACUGAGUGUGACCACCUCGAGCAGUCAUAAGGAAGUCUACCUUCUCGUCGAUGACUAGCUCGAUGCUGCAGCUGUGUGUCUAGUUCUUUGACCUGAGGUAUAUCGACAGUUCAUCUUGAGUGUGUUAUAGUUUGACUACACCAUAACUCGAUCUUCUAGCCAUUUGGAAUCCUGAGGUGUAUGUUGGCUGUAGCAUAUUCAUUAUAGGAACCAGAUUGCACCA